UGGCCAACAAACUCCAUCUCUUCCUACGCAACUUCCAGCUAGAGCUGAUCUUCCUGCCUGCACUGGUAAAGAAAAAUGGUUUGGAAAAUUUCCUGUAUGAAGCGUCAGACUUGUCUAUACAAUUAUGGCUUGACUGAAGUCAGUAUCGCCACCGAAUUUCCUUUCUUUUAAAUUUUAAUAAUUAAUAUUACACCAUUUGGGGAAUACCUGAAUGCAUGAAGUUAUUAUAUCAUAAUGCUUCUUUUCCAAGAUGCUUGUUUAAAGCUGUUAUCUUCUUUUUGGACCCUGGAAGGAUAUGAAGUUAAACAAGAAUUUUGACCUAGAAAAUUGUAAUACUUAUUUAACCAGUAACAUAGCCCUCCAUACAAUUCCAUCUCUACUGCCCCUUUCUAUGUUACUCUACAAAUACAUUGUCAAGUCAUUUGUUUUGUCUAAUAUGUGAGGCAAUUGCUGUAGAGUUUUAUAAUUCCUUUAUUGCACUUAAUGACUUUGCUUAGAUUGCAAUGAUGGUGGAUCUCAGUAUCCCAAACUGGAACUUCCAG
This 542-nucleotide unclassified non-coding RNA is filed under the name Hevea brasiliensis (rubber tree). Lineage: Eukaryota; Viridiplantae; Streptophyta; Magnoliopsida; Malpighiales; Euphorbiaceae. The record is from RNAcentral.